CCUACGGGUGGCAGCAGUGGGGAAUAUUGCACAAUGGGGGAAACCCUGAUGCAGCGACGCCGCGUGAGCGAUGAAGGAUUUCGGUAUGUAAAGCUCUAUCAGCAGGGAAGAAGAUGACGGUACCUGACCAACAAUCCCCGGCUAAUUACGUGACAGCAGCCGCGGUAAUACGCAGGGGGCGAGCGUUAUCCGGAUUGACUGGGUGGAAAGGGAGCGUAGACGGGGUGGCAAGGCAGAUGUGAAAGUGCGGGGCUCAACCCCGAGACUGCAUUUGAAACUGUGUGGCUGGAGUGUCGGAGAGGUAGGCGGAAUUCGUGGUGUAGCGGUGAAAUGCGUAGAUAUCAGGAGGAACACCAGUGGCGAAGGCGGCCUGCUGGACGAUAACUGACGCUGAGGCUCGAAAGCGUGGGUAGCAAACAGGAUUAGAUACCCCGGUAGUC
Molecule: ribosomal RNA, 440 nt
Filed under: uncultured bacterium
Lineage: Bacteria
Description: partial 16S ribosomal RNA
Rfam family: Bacterial small subunit ribosomal RNA
Source: RNAcentral